AUGUAGGGUUGGUGACUGCCUUGAGUUUGAUCUUGGCUAGAAUCACGCUUGGCGGCGUUGCUAACACAUGCAAGUCGAACGCGAAAGGGGAGCAAUCCCUGAGUAGAGUGGCAAACGGGUGAGUAACACGUGGGUGACCUGCCUUCGAGUGGGGGAUAACGUCCCGAAAGGGACGCUAAUACCGCAUAACAUCCUGUCUUUAGACAGAUGGAGAUCAAAGCUGGGGAUCGCAAGACCUGGCGCUUGAAGAGGGGCCCGCGCCUGAUUAGCUAGUUGGUGAGGUAACGGCUCACCAAGGCAACGAUCAGUAUCCGGCCUGAGAGGGCGGACGGACACACUGGGACUGAGACACGGCCCAGACUCCUACGGGAGGCAGCAGUGGGGAAUUGUUCGCAAUGGGCGCAAGCCUGACGACGCAACGCCGCGUGGAGGACGAAGAUCUUCGGGUCGUAAACUCCUGUCGAGCGGGAAGAACGUUUCGUGGGUGAAUAACCCGCGGAAGUGACGGUACCGCUAAAGGAAGCCCCGGCUAACUCCGUGCCGGCAGCCGCGGUAAUACGGGGGGGGCAAGCGUUGUUCGGAAUUACUGGGCGUAAAGGGCUCGUAGGUGGCCAACUAAGUCAGACGUGAAAUCCCCAGGCUCAACUUGGGAACUGCGUCUGAUACUGGAUGGCUUGAAUUCGGGAGAGGGAUGCAGAAUUCCAGGUGUAGCGGUGAAAUGCGUAGAUAUCUGGAGGAAUACCGGUGGCGAAGGCGGCAUCCUGGACCGAGAUUGACACUGAUGAGCGAAAGCCAGGGGAGCAAACGGGAUUAGAUACCCCGGUAGUCCUGGCCCUAAACGAUGAAUGCUUGGUGUGACGGGUAUCGAUCCCUGUCGUGCCGAAGCUAACGCAUUAAGCAUUCCGCCUGGGGAGUACGGUCGCAAGGCUGAAACACAAAGGAAUUGACGGGGGCCCGCACAAGCGGUGGAGCAUGUGGUUUAAUUCGAAGCAACGCGCAGAACCUUACCAGCCCUUGACAUGGGGAGUGUGGGCCUGAGAGAUCGGGUCCUUCAGUUCGGCUGGCUCCCGCACAGGUGCUGCAUGGCUGUCGUCAGCUCGUGUCGUGAGAUGUUGGGUUAAGUCCCGCAACGAGCGCAACCCUCAUCUUCAGUUGCCAACGGGUUCGGCCGGGCACUCUGAAGAAACUGCCGGUGAUAAGCCGGAGGAAGGCGGGGAUGACGUCAAGUCCUCAUGGCCCUUACGGGCUGGGCUACACACGUGCUACAAUGGCGGUGACAGAGGGAGGCGAAGGCGCGAGCUGGAGCGAACCCCCAAAAGCCGUCUCAGUUCGGAUUGCACUCUGCAACUCGAGUGCAUGAAGUCAGAAUCGCUAGUAAUCGCGAUCAGCACGC
This 1393-nucleotide ribosomal RNA is filed under the name uncultured bacterium. RNAcentral's name for it is "partial 16S ribosomal RNA". It matches the Rfam family "Bacterial small subunit ribosomal RNA", at positions 1 to 1357 of the family's 1533-position model. The record is from RNAcentral.